CGGCAGCACGGGGGGCGACCCUGGUGGCGAGCGGCGAACGGGUGAGUAAUGCAUCGGACGUGCCCUGUUGUGGGGGAUAACACAUCGAAAGAUGUGCUAAUACCGCAUGAGACCUGAGGGUGAAAGCGGGGGAUUGGAAACGACCUCGCGCGACAGGAGCGGCCGAAGUCCGAUUAACUAGUUGGGUGAAGGAAAGGCUCCCCCAAGGCGACGAUCGGUAGCUGGUCUGAAAAGAUGAUCAGCCACACUGGGAACUGAGACACGGCCCAACUCCUACGGGAAGGCACAGUGGGGAAUUUUGGAACAUGGGGCCCAAGCCUGAUCCAGCCAUUCCGCGUGAGUGAAGAAAGGCCUUCGGGUUGUAAAGCCCCUUUCGGCAGGAACGAAACGGGUUGUCUCUAACAUAGACGGCUACUGACGGUACCUGAAAGAAGAAGCACCGGCUAACUACGUGCCAGCAGCCGCGGUAAUACGUAGGGUGCGAGCGUUAAUCGGAAUUACUGGGCGUAAAGCGUGCGCAGGCGGUUGUGUAAGACAGAUGUGAAAUCCCCCGGGCUCAACUUGGGGAACUGCGGUUGUGACUGGCCCCACUGGGAGUGUGGGUAGAGGGGGG
This 613-nucleotide ribosomal RNA is filed under the name uncultured bacterium. RNAcentral's name for it is "bacterial SSU rRNA". It matches the Rfam family "Bacterial small subunit ribosomal RNA", at positions 67 to 663 of the family's 1533-position model. The record is from RNAcentral.